This 1475-nucleotide long non-coding RNA is filed under the name Oryctolagus cuniculus (rabbit). RNAcentral describes it as "lncRNA (ENSOCUG00000035637.1)". Lineage: Eukaryota; Metazoa; Chordata; Mammalia; Lagomorpha; Leporidae. The record is from RNAcentral.
AGAGCAGGGGAGAGAACGGAGUUUAUGAUGCCCCAGAGGCAACAGCCCAGCCCACAGCAUUUUGGCAUCCUUGUGGGUGCACACGAGUCAUCAAGGAACAACUCUGGCUUUGUACUGAGUUUUUGGAAGCUUGAAGAAUGGCUGGACAACAAUGAGUGGAAAAGUUAGGCGUGACAAUAAUGAAAGAAUAGAAAUUCACUGAGGAACCAAGAGGCUUGGAAAUUCCUCUGCAUGUUAAUUUUACUCUAAUGAGCCCAGGAUGGGAAACCAUCAUAAAACAACUGCGUGGCCUUGCUUUGUCACAAGUACUCACCUCCCCUGUUGGAGCAAGAACUCCCUUCUGGAACACACUGAGGAGCAGCCUUCUUCUCGCUCGCUGGCUGUCUGGUUCCUGUGGGGACACUUCUCUCUCCAGGACAGGUCUCCAUGGCCGUUUCUGGAGAAGUUUUAUGUAUUUUUUAAAUCACCACAGAACCCACUCUUUUGUGGGGAGGCUACUGAAAGCUUCAGAGAACUCUCAGGAUAAAGAGUUUAUUUGAACUGAAAGUUGCUGUCAGUGGGCUGCCCUGUGGGGCUGGCUAUUGUGGGGAGACCUGGAGGCACAUGGAGCUACUUCAUCACAGCCUUCAGAGACAGGGCAGACAGACACCGUUUCCUGGGAGGGGCCUACAUUUUAUUUUUGCUUUUCAUUAUACAGGCCUGGAUUUUACUUUCUCAUUGUAGAAGUUUGUGGGAUACAAUGUGAUACUCCAUUACAUGGGUACAAGGUGUAAUGACCAAAUCAGAAUAGUUAGCAUUUCCAUUUCCUUAAACACUUUUUCAAUCAACAUGCAAUAAUUGUGUAUAUUUCUGGGGUACAAUGUGAAAUUUCAGGAUAUGUAUGCAAUGUGUUUUGAUCAAAUGAGCCUAAUUACCUUCCAUCUCCUUAUCAUUACUUUAUGUUCACAGACUUUGAGCUUGUACCUCCUAGUUAUCCAUAAAACAUGGAGCAGGUUGUUGUGAACUACAGUCCUCCCACUGCCCACUCCCAGCGGCACACCUGAACUUAUUCCUUCUGUCCCACUGUAUUUGGAUCUGGUAUUCAACCUCCUUCUUUCCCCCAUCCUCUCCACCCUUCCCAGUAGAAGCCUAUAAUCAAAAAUACUACUCAAGGGGCAGGCAUCGUAGCUCACUUGGUUAAUCCUCUGCCUGCAGCGCCAGCAUUCCAUAUAGGUGCUGGGUUCUAGUCCCGGUUGCUCCUCCUCCAGUCCAGCUGUCUGCUGUGGCCUGGGAAGGCAGUGAAGGAUGGCCCAGGUGCUUGGGCCCCUGCACCCGCAUGGGAGACCAGGAGGAAGUACCUGGUUCCUGGCUUCGGAUUGGCCAUCUGGGGGGUGAACCAACAGAAGGAAGACCUUUCUCUCUGUUUCUCUGUCUCUCUCACUAUCUAACUCUAUCUGUCAAAUAAAUAAUAAUAAUAAUAAUAAAAAAUACUACUC